RNAcentral lists this ribosomal RNA (809 nucleotides) under Pseudoalteromonas luteoviolacea. Its description in RNAcentral is "bacterial LSU rRNA". It matches the Rfam family "Bacterial large subunit ribosomal RNA", at positions 1 to 859 of the family's 2925-position model. The record is from RNAcentral. Lineage: Bacteria; Pseudomonadati; Pseudomonadota; Gammaproteobacteria; Alteromonadales; Pseudoalteromonadaceae.
GUUGUAUGGUUAAGUGACUAAGCGUACACGGUGGAUGCCUUGGCAGUUGGAGGCGAUGAAGGACGUACUAACUUGCGAUAAGCUAAGUCAAGCCAGUAAGAGGCACUUGAGACUUAGAUUUCCGAAUGGGGAAACCCACCGCUUAGCGGUAUCUUGCAGUGAAUACAUAGCUGUAAGAGGCAAACCGGGAGAACUGAAACAUCUAAGUACCCCGAGGAAAAGAAAUCAACCGAGAUUCCGAAAGUAGCGGCGAGCGAAAUCGGAUUAGCCCUUAAGCUUCAGUGUAAUUAGUGGAACCUUCUGGAAAGUUGGACGACACAGGGUGACAGUCCCGUACACGAAAAUUUAUCUGAAGUGAAAUCGAGUAGGUCGGAGCACGUGAAACUUUGACUGAAUAUGGGGGGACCAUCCUCCAAGGCUAAAUACUCCCAACUGACCGAUAGUGAACCAGUACCGUGAGGGAAAGGCGAAAAGAACCCCUGUGAGGGGAGUGAAAUAGAACCUGAAACCGUGUACGUACAAGCAGUAGGAGCCCUUUCGAGGGUGACUGCGUACCUUUUGUAUAUAUGGGUCAGCGACUUAUAUUCUGUAGCGAGGUUAACCAUUUAGGGGAGCCGUAGCGAAAGCGAGUCUUAACUGGGCGCUUAAGUUGCAGGGUAUAGACCCGAAACCCGGUGAUCUAGCCAUGGGCAGGUUGAAGGUCAGGUAACACUGACUGGAGGACCGAACCCACUAACGUUGAAAAGUUAGGGGAUGACCUGUGGCUAGGAGUGAAAGGCUAAUCAAACCGGGAGAUAGCUGGUUCUCCC